AAGGGCUAUUUUGAUAGAAUAGAUCAUGUAUUUGUACCUUUAUUUAUAAAUAAUAGAAUUACACUAUUUCUGUUAAAUUCAAAAUUUAAUGUUCAUUUAAACUAAUUUAUAAAUUUUAUCGGGCUAGCCCAGCCCCCGCACACUUAGUAUAAAGGUAAGCUAAAUAAGCUAAAGGGUUCAUACCCCUUCUAUAAGAGUCAAAUCUCUUCCUUUUUAAUGUUCUUUAAAAAUUAUCAAUUAACAUUUAUAACUACUACAUUUUUAGGUACUUUAAUGGCGGUAUCGUCUAAUUAAUGAAUUCUUUGCUGGAUCGGCCUAGAGAUUAACCUAAUGAGAUUUAUUCCUUUAAUUUUAAGAGACCUUAAUUUUAAAUCUACAGAGACAGCAAUCAAAUAUUUUUUAACCCAAGCAGUAGCUUCUGUAAUUCUAAUUACAGCUGCAUCCUUUACCCUUCAAAUAAAAAAUUAUUAUUUAGAAAAAAUAAACUUUUUUUAAAUUUUUAACCCUGUCUAUUAAAGCAGGCAUAGCCCCCUUCCAUAUCUGAUUUCCUCCAGCGAAUACAGAUCACUUAAAGAAGGAUGAAGAUAUGGUUAUUGUUUCAGUAUAGGGAAAUGGGGUUCCAAAUGCUGUGAUUGGCUGACGGUUUUUAUGGGCAUCCGCCCAUAAAAACAGGGCCGUGGCACAACUCAAUUUUUCCCAAUCUCAAUUUCCCCAUUACUUGGAAAUCUCACUCCUUUCUUGGCACCAAAAUCAGGUGUCUCCUUUACCAUCAUUCUUGCUGCCAAACUCGGAAAAGCUGAGUAAUUAAAAGAUUAUUUAAUAUCCUACAAAUUAAUUUUCUGACAUCCACUCAAUUACAUAAAUCGCUUCAACUCACCACAAGUUAAGCUCUAAGCUUCAACUCUCGGUAACUGCUAAGGACAAUUUUUCAUCCAUUAAUUUUGCGACCUCUCUGCCGUGCCCCCACCAGAAAUCUGUGUCAUCGCCGGCCAACCUUGUAAAUAACAACUUUAACUGGAUUCUGCAACAAUAAGGACCAAGGAACUUGUAUUUCGUAAUGCACUAUAUUUUAUUGAAGUAUAGACUCAUCAAUUACCAUUAGUUGUUGUUCGUGACCUGGUAACAGUGUGAAAUUGUCGGAAACUUAAAGUUUUACAAGAUUCAAAAAUAGUUUCUCAUAUAAUGAACGAUAUAAUAUUUGUGCCAAUUGUUACUCAAUAUUGUGACCUAUUGCCCCUUCCUCCACCAGAUCCGUGUCUCCACCGGUCAAUUUAUCUGAUCUAUCAGUGUUCACCUAUUUGGCCAAACAAGGGUACUUAAAGCAAUGUGACUUUGUCAAGACUAUUAAAAAACUUUCAAAACUUCGCUUAAGACUCAUCAAUUACUAUGAGACCUUGUUCGUGACUCGGGAAUAGUGUGAAAUUCUCAGGAACUUCAGUAAAGUUUACCAGGUUCAACCAUAAUAUUAAAAUAAUAGUUUCUUAUCUCCAAAAAUUAAAAAAGCAACGAACAGUGGACACACACAUGUAUAUGGUGGAAACACGUUUAUUUUAAUUACUGAUUCGCCUUCAUGUACUCAAAUUCAGUGUGACUUUAUCAAAACCUUCUUCAAAAUCUUCUUAAAAUAAACAAUUAACGGUGGAGACACAUAAAUAUGGAAAUCCAGUUGCUCAAAACAUUUAUUUGAAUUUAAUAAACCGUCGUUUGUCACGGUCCGAAAUAUAAAGUGUUGCGGUACUAAUUGUGAUAAUUCUUGAAACCAAGAAAAUCGUAAUUACUCCUUUCUGCCAAAGCGUCAGGUUCCAGCAGUGGUGUAAAAUUCUCGACAUCGAUAAGGAAAACGUAUCACCUAAAACUGUCGUUUGCAGCCUUUUAGCCACCUUCAAGAAAUUUCUCAAAGAGUUUUACCGACCUCUCCACCCCAUUCGUGUCUUCACCAUUGUCUGUGUCUCCACCGAAAGGGGGGUGGGUUAAUUUAUCCUUUAUAUGAACAAGAAGAUAAAGAUUAGAAAUAAGUUUCACUACAGUUUGAAGUAGAAGAACCAGAACCACAUUCAACUGUUUCCAUUUUCCUUAUAUACUCAAGGCACGAAAAUUAUUGCUACUAUUUAUAAUAAAAUAUUUUGCAACCGGGAAAUUAUUUCGAUGUUUGUAAAAUUAAAGUAAAAUUGUAUUUAUGCUAAAUCAAUUUUUGUUGCAAUAAAUUUGGUUGUAAAUCUGCAUCACAACAACUUUCAGUUUUUAAUUAAUUAUUCGAACUUAGAAAGUCGCAAAAAUUCUCCAUUCGAGAUGACGAAAAUCUGUACAAAAAUUAAGUCACAUUAAAUCCUGAGCAUGGUUGUAAAACUGCUCUGACAUAUCUUGUCGUUAAACUUACUUAAUAAUUGAUGAUGGUGGGUGGGUGUGGUAGACACCGAAGCACGAAAAACUGUUUUUUUGUUCUGGGACGUAAAAUAUAAAGUGUGAUGAGA
Folsomia candida is the source of this 2471-nucleotide long non-coding RNA. RefSeq lists it as uncharacterized. The record is from RefSeq and is a predicted model, not a curated record. The transcript has 7 exons. Lineage: Eukaryota; Metazoa; Arthropoda; Collembola; Entomobryomorpha; Isotomidae.